This 253-nucleotide ribosomal RNA is filed under the name uncultured bacterium. RNAcentral's name for it is "partial 16S ribosomal RNA". It matches the Rfam family "Bacterial small subunit ribosomal RNA", at positions 524 to 776 of the family's 1533-position model. The record is from RNAcentral.
UACAGAGGGUGCAAGCGUUAAUCGGAAUUACUGGGCGUAAAGCGUGCGUAGACGGUUAUUUAAGUCAGGUGUGAAAGCCCAGGGCUCAACCUUGGAAUUGCAUUUGAGACUGAAUAGCUAGGGUGCGGAAGAGGGAAGCGGAAUUUCCGGUGUAGCGGUGAAAUGCGUAGAUAUCUGGAGGAACACCGGUGGCGAAGGCGGCAUCCUGGACCGGUAUUGACGCUGAGGCGCGAAAGCCAGGGGAGCAAACGGG